This 485-nucleotide ribosomal RNA is filed under the name uncultured bacterium. RNAcentral's name for it is "partial 16S ribosomal RNA". It matches the Rfam family "Bacterial small subunit ribosomal RNA", at positions 30 to 507 of the family's 1533-position model. The record is from RNAcentral.
AUUGAACGCUGGCGGCAGGCUUAACACAUGCAAGUCGAGCGGGGAAAGGUAGCUUGCUACCUGACCUAGCGGCGGACGGGUGAGUAAUGCUUAGGAAUCUGCCUAUUAGUGGGGGACAACACCUCGAAAGGGAUGCUAAUACCGCAUACGUCCUACGGGAGAAAGCAGGGGACCUUCGGGCCUUGCGCUAAUAGAUGAGCCUAAGUCGGAUUAGCUAGUUGGUGGGGUAAAGGCCUACCAAGGCGACGAUCUGUAGCGGAUCUGAGAGGAUGAUCCGCCACACUGGGACUGAGACACGGCCCAGACUCCUACGGGAGGCAGCAGUGGGGAAUAUUGGACAAUGGGGGGAACCCUGAUCCAGCCAUGCCGCGUGUGUGAAGAAGGCCUUUUGGUUGUAAAGCACUUUAAGCGAGGAGGAGGCUACCGAGAUUAAUACUCUUGGAUAGUGGACGUUACUCGCAGAAUAAGCACCGGCUAACUCUGUG